CGUAGGGUGCGAGCGUUAAUCGGAAUUACUGGGCGUAAAGCGUGCGCAGGCGGUUUUGUAAGACAGGCGUGAAAUCCUCGGGCUCAACCUGGGAACUGCGUUUGUGACUGCAAGGCUAGAGUAUGGCAGAGGGGGGUGGAAUUCCACGUGUAGCAGUGAAAUGCGUAGAGAUGUGGAGGAACACCGAUGGCGAAGGCAGCCCCCUGGGCCAAUACUGACGCUCAUGCACGAAAGCGUGGGUAGCAAACAGGAUUAGAUACCCUGGUAGUCCACGCCCUAAACGAUGUCAACUAGGUGUUGGGUGGGUAAAACCAUUUAGUACCGGAGCUAACGCGUGAAGUUGACCGCCUGGGGAGUACGGCCGCAAGGUUA
RNAcentral lists this ribosomal RNA (372 nucleotides) under uncultured organism. Its description in RNAcentral is "bacterial SSU rRNA". It matches the Rfam family "Bacterial small subunit ribosomal RNA", at positions 526 to 896 of the family's 1533-position model. The record is from RNAcentral.